GAUGAACGCUGACUGAAUGCUUAACACAUGCAAGUCAACUUGAAUUUGGGUUUUUAACUUAGGUUUGGGUGGCGGACGGGUGAGUAACGCGUAAAGAACUUGCCUCACAGCUAGGGACAACAUUUGGAAACGAAUGCUAAUACCUAAUAUUAUGAUAAUAGGGCAUCCUAUAAUUAUGAAAGCUAUAAGCGCUGUGAGAGAGCUUUGCGUCCCAUUAGCUAGUUGGAGAGGUAACGGCUCACCAAGGCGAUGAUGGGUAGCCGGCCUGAGAGGGUGAUCGGCCACAAGGGGACUGAGACACGGCCCUUACUCCUACGGGAGGCAGCAGUGGGGAAUAUUGGACAAUGGACCGAGAGUCUGAUCCAGCAAUUCUGUGUGCACGAUGAAGUUUUUCGGAAUGUAAAGUGCUUUCAGUUGGGAAGAAACAAAUGACGGUACCAACAGAAGAAGUGACGGCUAAAUACGUG
Molecule: ribosomal RNA, 467 nt
Filed under: uncultured bacterium
Lineage: Bacteria
Description: partial 16S ribosomal RNA
Rfam family: Bacterial small subunit ribosomal RNA
Source: RNAcentral